CGGCAGGCUUAAUACAUGCAAGUCGAGGGGUAAAUAGGUAGCAAUACUUAUGAGACCGGCAAACGGGUGCGGAACACGUACGCAACCUUCCUUAGAGCGGGGAAUAGCCCAGAGAAAUUUGGAGUAAUACCCCAUAGCAUUUGGAGAAAGCAUUUUCUCUUUAUUAAAGAUUUAUCACUCUAAGAUGGGCGUGCGGCUGAUUAGGUAGUUGGCGGGGUAAUGGCCCACCAAGCCUACGAUCAGUAGCUGAUGUGAGAGCAUGAUCAGCCACACGGGCACUGAGACACGGGCCCGACUCCUACGGGAGGCAGCAGUAGGGAAUAUUGGACAAUGGGCGCAAGCCUGAUCCAGCCAUGCCGCGUGGAGGAUGAAGGUCCUCUGGAUUGUAAACUUCUUUUAUUUGGGAAGAAAUGUAGAUAUUCUUAUUUACUUGACGGUACCAGAUGAAUAAGCACCGGCUAACUCCGUGCCAGCAGCCGCGGUAAUACGGAGGGUGCAAGCGUUAUCCGGAUUCACUGGGUUUAAAGGGUGCGUAGGCGGGCAGGUAAGUCAGUGGUGAAAUCUCUAAGCUUAACUUGGAAGUUGCCAUUGAUACUAUCUAUCUUGAAUAUUGUGGAGGUUAGCGGAAUAUGU
RNAcentral lists this ribosomal RNA (633 nucleotides) under uncultured bacterium. Its description in RNAcentral is "bacterial SSU rRNA". It matches the Rfam family "Bacterial small subunit ribosomal RNA", at positions 40 to 671 of the family's 1533-position model. The record is from RNAcentral.